GGGGGGACCACCCUCCAACCCUAAAUACUACCCAGUGACCGAUAGCGUAUAGUACUGUGAAGGAAAGGUGAAAAGCACCCCGGGAGGGGAGUGAAAAAGAACCUGAAACCCUGUGCCUACAAGCACCUAGAGCACGUCAAUGUGUGAUAGGGUACUUUUUGUAGAACGGUCCGGCGAGCGAUUGUAUGCAGCAAGGUUAAGGACUUAAGGUCUGGAGCCGAAGCGAAAGCGAGUUUGAAAAGGGCGUUAAGUUGCAUAUAAUGGGCCCGAAACCGGGUGACCUACCCAUGGUCAGGUUGAAGUGGAAGUAAAAUUCCAUGGAGGACCGAACCGACCUCCGUUGAAAAGGCGGCGGAUGAACUGUGGGUAGCGGAGAAAUUCCAAUCGAACCCGGAGAUAGCUGGUUCUCCCCGAAAUAGUUUUAGGACUAGCCUCAAGUUAGAUACCUGGAGGUAAAGCACUGAAUAGCCUAGCGGCCGAGAGGUUAGCGAAGCUUAUCAAACUCAGAAUGCCAGAGUAUUGAUGCUUGGGAGUCAGACAGUGUCAGAUAAAUGUCAUUGUCAAAAGGGAAACAGCCCAGAUCUACAGCUAAGGUCCCAAAGUCAGGUUAAGUGGAAAACGAUGUGAAGAUACGCAGACAACCAGGAUGUUGGCUCAGAAGCAGCCACUCAUUCAAAGAGUGCGUAAUAGCUCACUGGUCGAGCGUCUUUGCGCGGAGAAUUUAACGGGGCUAAACCUGACACCGAAGCUUAGGCAAUACAGCAAUGUAUUGGGUAGGGGAGCGUUGUAUACGCGGUGAAACAGUAGCGCAAGCGGCUGUGGAGUGUAUAGAAGUGAGAAUGCCGGAAUGAGUAGCGCGAAUGCAGUGAGAAUCUGCAUGGCCGAAAGCCUCAGGUUUCUGGAGGAAGGUUCGUCCGCUCCAGGUUAGUCGGGAGCUAAGGUGAGGCCUAACGGCGUAGCCGAUGCACAGACGGUAGAGAUUCCGUCACCACCAAAAGAGUUAAGCACAGGGACACAUUUGAAGUCUCGGAGCCGGGUGUUGGUUCCGGUAGCGAUCGAGGGAAGUUAGUACCGAAGUCCGGGAUGGAAGAUGGCGAGAAAAGCUGUGUGUAUUUCUGCGGUGCCCGUACCGCAAACCGACACAGGUAGGUAGGAAGAAGAUUCUAAGGCCAACGGGAGAAGGGUUGUUAAGGAACUCGGCAAAUUGACCCCGUAACUUCGGGAGAAGGGGUGCUCCAGAGAUGGAGCCGCAGAGAAUCGGCCCAAGCAACUGUUUACCAAAAACACAGGUUUGUGCUAAAUCGAAAGAUGACGUAUACGAGCUGACGCCUGCCCGGUGCUGGAAGGUUAAGAGGAGAUGUGCAAGCAUUGAAUCGAAGCCCCAGUGAACGGCGGCCGUAACUAUAACGGUCCUAAGGUAGCGAAAUUCCUUGUCAGGUAAGUUCUGACCCGCAUGAAAGGCGUAAUGAUUUGGGCACUGUCUC
Molecule: ribosomal RNA, 1484 nt
Filed under: gut metagenome
Description: bacterial LSU rRNA
Rfam family: Bacterial large subunit ribosomal RNA
Source: RNAcentral